This 1021-nucleotide ribosomal RNA is filed under the name Triticum aestivum (bread wheat). RNAcentral's name for it is "partial small subunit ribosomal RNA". The record is from RNAcentral. Lineage: Eukaryota; Viridiplantae; Streptophyta; Magnoliopsida; Poales; Poaceae.
GCACGGGUAGAGGACCAGCUAGCUAGAUGAUGGUCGGGUACCCGCGUGCGUGGAGCGACAUGAGGUUGAUUCCCAUUCUGAGCCUGCCGGCGCCGAAACCUCCCACCACGCCGGUUGGCGAGAGAUAGCGCCCGGUCUAGACCCCACCACCGCGGGUCCUACCGCGCGCGGCCCCUGAACCCGACGACCUAGGCCACUCCGUAGCGGACGUGCGCUCCUCGGCGAGACGGAGAGCGCCCUCCGAGGCAGGCCGCAGCGGCCUUCGACGACAAGCUAGACGAAGGUGACUAGACGAGAGUGACUGUCGUCCCGCAGGUUGGUAGGAGAACCACCUAGACCAACCCGACGUUUAGUAACGUCUAAGUCUAGACCGGUAUAGGAAGUUGCAACUACCAAAAAAAGCAGUCCACAAGAGAUGACACCAGGAACAUCGUUUAAGAACGGUUAGCCACGACGGGUCAGUCACAACUAGGAUUUCAAACCUAAAAAUAAAGUAAGCAAGAAGGUAGAGUAAUCAACCGCAAACCAUAAAAAUCAAUAAACACCAAUACUAGGUUAUUCUCAGUCGUGAUCAAUAAACCUAAACGUAAGUGGACCAUAGGACGAGGAAAGAACUACUGUUGGUCCCUACCUACCGUCUAGUAGUUGUCGGAUCAGAUGUAGACGCAACCUCCACUUACAUAUGGAGAUAUCCCUCUCGUACUUAGGAGAAACUUUUGUUCGGACAUGUCGUUCUUCUCGAACGGGUCGAGAGAGCAACUACUUUAGUGUAUAUCUAGAUCAGUUACGACGUGCUCGGUGGUCUAAGAUUACGUCCCUUUAGUGUCGUCUUCUUCGAGUUUCUACGGUUAAUCUUCUUUCUAGCCCGUGGCUACACGUGGACUCUAACAUCAUUAUAUAUGAGAUUCAUCAUCGUCGUCAGUUCGUAAAUCAUUGUACAUUUUCAUAGCGGCGUAGGGGUAUAUCAGAGUACGCGAUGAUCAAAUAGAUGUCUUGUCUUCUCUGCUUGAAAACUGCUGUC